Molecule: long non-coding RNA, 3272 nt
Organism: Monodelphis domestica (gray short-tailed opossum)
Lineage: Eukaryota; Metazoa; Chordata; Mammalia; Didelphimorphia; Didelphidae
Source: Ensembl
AUUUAUAAAAUGAAUUCAGAUCUUUUUGUUAAAGCUCAUUUAAAUAUUACAAAUAUGCUGCUAUUCGUUUUUAUGAUGAUUUCUCCCUUUGGGAGGCAUAAGAGUACAGGUUUGGAAACCUUAACGCAAACCAAACUUUAUGCUGGCAAUUUAAUUCUGCAAAACUCCUGGUUUAUGCUAUUUUUAAAAGUCUGCGUUUCCCUCCAACACUUAAAAGAUAGACACUCAAAACUCAAUAAGAUCUUCUAGAAAUUAAAAGGAUUUAAUUAGAUGAACCACAGUUUCUAAAUUAACUGCUUUUCACACACAUCCUUAGACCUGUGGUAGGUCAGGACUCAAUCUGAAUUGGGGAUUCAGCUGAAUUGCCUUUUUGGUGAGAAUCCCCGAUGGCCUCAUCGGAGAAUUUUUUACUUAAUAAAAAUAAAAGAGGGAGUUCCCCUUCCUUGCAUUUUUCGAAGCACUAAUUUUCUUCUAAUAUUUUGGGUAGUGCUUCAGGUUGGAGACAAAUGAGAUCACUAAACCCCGCCAGUGUGUGGACUCUGGGGCACAGUCUUCCAGUCCCCGAAGUUAAAUGUUUAGUUUGGGAAGGAGCGAGAGGGUUCCUACUAUUGUGGCAGGCUGCUUGGGGCAGGGGGUGUUCUCAAAUUACUGCUCCCUCACCGGGAAAGCCCGAACACAUCACGCUCAGUACGGGACGGAGAGCGAGACCACGCGGGGACUUCCGCCGGGCCAGGGCCAUUUGGGAACUGCGGCACCUAUACCAGCUCGGCGAAAACCAUCAUUAACGCGCCUUCGGAGCCACUCGGAGAGCCAGCCCACAGCCAGAGAGAAGAGUUUAGCCAGAGGUGUCCAGCUGUGGGGGAAGGGAGGGGAGGGGAGGAGUCUGGAGAGAUUCAGCCACACCUUCCCAGGUUCUGUCACUUUAAGGCAAACAGAAAUUCCCGAGUCCCGCCCCCUUCCCGAACAUCAGCUUACAAUUGGCUUACAGAGAUGCCAGUUGUGGACGGAGGUUUCAUCAUCUUCAGGCAUGGGGUUUUCCCAUUGGCCCAGGCGCUGGUGGUUUGUAAAUGGUACUGGAAAGGGGGAGGGGAGGAGGGUGUGCGAACGAGCGCGAGCGCGGCCCGGGCGGGAGCGGGAGGCUGGUUGGUUUCGCAAUCGCUUCUCGCCGUCCGCCGGUUCCAACUCUUCGAAGUCAGGCGUCGGGGUCGCGCCGCAGUGGGGGCCUCGCUGGGUCCGCCUCGGGUGGAGGCCCCCUAGUUCACUAAUUGGAUAUACAAAGUAUUCAUUGUGGAUGAUCAUGUAAUAUCCUGAGAGUCAACUGGAAAAAGAGGUGCAUGUGAAGAUUUCUUGGCAGCUUAGUGUGGAAAUUGUUGGUCACUUGCUUCUUCGCCCCUUCUUCUCCCUUGCCCCCAAUUUCUAACUCUGUUGUGGUUCAAGAAGAGCCUGUCCAAAUGAGCAAGACAUCCCAACAGAGCAGUACUGCAGGAGCUAAUGGAAUAAGUGUUAUUCACACACAAGCACAUGCCAGUGGUUUACAGCAGGUUCCUCAGGUGGUGCCAGUCAGCCCUGGAGGAGGAGGCAAAGCUACACCUCCCAGCAAACAAAGCAAAAAAAGUUCAUCAAUGGAUAGGAACAGUGAUGAGUAUCGACAGCGAAGAGAACGGAACAACAUGGCAGUGAAAAAGAGUCGGUUAAAAAGCAAGCAAAAAGCCCAGGAUACCUUACAAAGGGUCAACCAGCUAAAAGAAGAGAAUGAACGCUUGGAAGCAAAAAUUAAACUGCUGACUAAAGAAUUAAGUGUACUUAAAGAUUUGUUUCUUGAGCAUGCACACAACCUGGCAGACAACGUACAGCCUAUGAGCACUGAAAGCACUACCCCAAAUCCUGAGAGCACGGGACAGUAGUGAGGAUACGGCAGUCUGGGCGAACUGAACUCCAGAAGGUGUGACUGACUGACUCCACUCACUUUAGUAUCAAUGCUGAUCUAUUCUAAUAUUUAAAGAUCCUUUUGGGGAUAUUUUCUAGGUGAAGCACUGAAGAUUUGACUAGCCUAAAAUGUUAACUUGUUUGAAGUAAUAAGUUGCUUUUUAUCAAAAGUCAGAGAAUUUUUUCAAAGAUAUAAAAAAAUCUUAGAACUUUUUGUUAUUGCUAAGUCUUGGAUUUUCUCAGAAAUGCUCAUUAUCCCUUUUGGCAUGGAGAAGUAGGAAUGUACCUGAGAAUUGGCAGAUUGGGCAUAAGAUUUUAAUGAAUGAACAUAAUUGGCUGAAAAAGACUAAUGUUAAAUAUUAUUUUAAGAAAGUAUACAUCUACUCUACAGUAAAAAUUGGCUGUUGAUGACAGAUCAGUAUAUAAUAUGAGGGCUAUAAAUACAUUGUCUGAACAUAAUUAGAAGUUUUUCCCUAGUUGGCAUAAAUUGCUUCUCAAUAGUAUGGUUCAAUGACAUUGGCUAAAGUGUUACAAUUGAUUAUUAUAAACAGUGGAUUGUAAAUGUUAUAUAGCAAAUUGAAAUUGGCAUACCAAAAUUGUAAAUGGUUUCCUAGAAUUAAGGGAGCAAGUGGAUUUGUAUUCUUAUAAGCCUCUAUAUCAGUGAAAUUUGUUAGAAUUCUCCGUUUAGGUUUUCUGGGACUAUUGGACUAUUAUUAUUUUCCUUUGUUUUGUGCAAAAUAUCAGGAAUGUUUAGAACAACUCAGAAAAACUGAAGUGUCUAAAAUAUUAGUUUCAAAGAAUUGUUAAAAUAGGCAUUUUUGGCUACCUAUUAUUGAAAAGGACUUCACAUAGUGUACUAGCAGCCUUUUCAGUAUUUGGUUCAAGAGAAUGUUUUAUUGAGAAGGGAACUUUUCUUUGGUCACAUUUUAUAAGGGAACAUUCAUUAAAAAGAGUAAUUUCUUUAAAAUUUUAACAAAAGAGUGUGAUUAUUAGAAAAUAUGUGGUUGACUUCUUACCUUUUCCCCCAAUACAGUGGCAAUAUACUAUUAAGCUGGCUUUUAAAAAGAGAAGCUAAGAUGUCAAACCUUUUUAACUUAUUUCAUAAUUUGUAAUAUGGACCUGGCAUAUUUCUUGUUUGGUCAUCACACUAUAUUCUUCCAAAUCUUUUUUGCACCGUUUACUUCCAUUCAUUAGCUUUUAAACUUGUGUGCCCUAGAAAUGUAUUUAGAAAGAAUAUGUUGGUGAGAAAAUUGUUAGGAUGCCAAUAGAGAAAGUACAAAAUUAUAUUUGAUAGUUAAUUUUAUUUUGUGAAUAAAAAUGUCAGAGGGAAGCUCUAGAGACUGUUC